Long non-coding RNA from Lolium perenne, 909 nucleotides. RefSeq lists it as uncharacterized. NCBI's taxonomy places the organism in Eukaryota, Viridiplantae, Streptophyta, Magnoliopsida, Poales, Poaceae. The record is from RefSeq and is a predicted model, not a curated record.
GAGGCGGAUCGGCAGGUGUUGGGAUGCGCCUGUGGAUGAAAAUUUCAUCCGUGGAGAUAGUGUCCAUGGAACCUUCAGAGAGAGUUGUAAUUUUAGAGUUGCUGAAGGAGGCCCUAUCAUCGACCAGUCGAAUGGCUGUCGAGCAUUAUGUUGGAAAUUCUUCAAAGAUUGUAUGGACGGAAGAAGGCGCAGAACAGGGCCCCUUCUCUUAUCCAGAUUUUCGAGGGAAGCAUCCUUCCAUGACAAUGGCUAAAUCAUGUGUUUCUUUCGUCCAUUGAAAGGCAUGGCAGGUUACAUCAUGUUCGCCGGCAUCGAUGCUGACGGGUAGCUCCGCAAGUGGCCAAGUUGCUUCUAUGUAUUGCUGAUAUCAGUAGUGGCCUCGAUGCUUCGAGGAUAGCCAUCUGUGGGGGUAGCAGCCGGAUGUAUGCAAGACAUAAGGUGCCAAUGGAUUCAUUUAGGCGAAGUUGAAUUAUGCUAGAAAGUGGCCAGCAGAAUCUGUGUACUCAGAUUCGACAUCUUAGGACAAUUAUAUGCCCUUCACUUCCCUGGGAUGUAGUUUGAAGUGGCGAGGAACUUGUGAUUAAAUAGACGUCGUAUGCAAUAUGAGGGUGGUGAUGAUGUCACUCUCUACACAGACUGGCAGAAGAUGAAGCGGCUGCCGAUUACCUGAAAUUGUUUUAUUGUGUAGCUUGCUACUAAAUCUAAGACAUCUCUAUUGCUCGGUUCAUUGUAAUUUAGUACUAUUGCCGUAGAGUUUUAUGAUGACAUUAUUGUCACUUUACUUGCAAUAUAGUAUUGUUGCUGCUUAAAAAAAUGCAUUAUUUCUGGGUAUUUCCUUGCCAUUCAUGUAAAUAAUGAAAUAUACCUUUUUAGCGUGAGAUCUACCUUCAAAAUACUUACUACCAUCCA